GAGUAACCUGCCCCGGACUCUGGAAUAAGCGCUGGAAACGGCGUCUAAUACCGGAUACGAGACGCAACCGCAUGGUUAGUGUCUGGAAAGUUUUUCGGUCUGGGAUGGACUCGCGGCCUAUCAGCUUGUUGGUGAGGUAAUGGCUCACCAAGGCGACGACGGGUAGCCGGCCUGAGAGGGCGACCGGCCACACUGGGACUGAGACACGGCCCAGACUCCUACGGGAGGCAGCAGUGGGGAAUAUUGCACAAUGGGCGAAAGCCUGAUGCAGCGACGCCGCGUGAGGGAUGACGGCCUUCGGGUUGUAAACCUCUUUCAGCAGGGAAGAAGCGAAAGUGACGGUACCUGCAGAAGAAGCACCGGCUAACUACGUGCCAGCAGCCGCGGUAAUACGUAGGGUGCGAGCGUUGUCCGGAAUUAUUGGGCGUAAAGAGCUUGUAGGCGGUUUGUCGCGUCUGCUGUGAAAAUCCGGGGCUCAACCCCGGACUUGCAGUGGGUACGGGCAGACUAGAGUGUGGUAGGGGAGACUGGAAUUCCUGGUGUAGCGGUGAAAUGCGCAGAUAUCAGGAGGAACACCGAUGGCGAAGGCAGGUCUCUGGGCCACUACUGACGCUGAGAAGCGAAAGCAUGGGGAGCGAACAGGAUUAGAUACCCUGGUA
RNAcentral lists this ribosomal RNA (659 nucleotides) under Intrasporangiaceae bacterium. RNAcentral describes it as "bacterial SSU rRNA". It matches the Rfam family "Bacterial small subunit ribosomal RNA", at positions 119 to 792 of the family's 1533-position model. Lineage: Bacteria; Bacillati; Actinomycetota; Actinomycetes; Micrococcales; Intrasporangiaceae. The record is from RNAcentral.